GUGGGGUCACACACAUUAGAGGUUCCUAUCUGAUCUGAUGGCUGGUGAAGAGUCCCACUGGACUGGGACUCUUCGACCAUGAGUCUUAAUGCUCGGAGACUCUAAGUCCUACGUGUCUGGGACUCUGUGAUCAAGAAUUAGGAUUCUCUGAUCAUGAGUUUCACACAUUUUGGGUACCAGGGUCAAGAGUCCCACUGGUUUGGGACUCUUCGAUCAAGGUUUCAUAUCGAUGGACUUUGAUGCCUGAUUGCCCAUCGAAUUUGGAUUCAGUAUUUAUGAGAGAUUUAAUUCGUGAUUUGAUCACUAAUUAACUCAAUUUGAUUGAGUAAUUAUUUUUGGAUCAAGUCCAAUUGAAUUGGAUUCAGUUGGGUUUGACCCGAUUAGGUUAAGAGUUGACCUAAUCGCUGAGGUGGUUUGGUCCCUGAUCUGAUCAGGGGUUGGGCUUGGUCAAUUUCUGAUUUGAUUAAAAUUUUAUUGAGCCUAAUUAAGCAUAAUUGUGUUGGGUUUAAUUUAGCCUAACUGUGCCUAACCUAUUUUAAUAAGGUUAAUUCAAUUAGAUUUGAAACCACCUUGACUUAUCUCCCUGCGCCACCUCACCUCAUCCUGCACCCAUUUAAAUUCACAAGAAACGAGUUCUCAUGAAUUUUCUCCCAUGC
Molecule: long non-coding RNA, 656 nt
Filed under: Elaeis guineensis (African oil palm)
Lineage: Eukaryota; Viridiplantae; Streptophyta; Magnoliopsida; Arecales; Arecaceae
Description: long non-coding RNA (EGUI_LNC050315)
Source: RNAcentral